CGGUAGCAGCCCAGGUGGCUCCGCAGGCCCCCAGGUGAUGGGCUCGGCGGCUCUCACUGCUGUCUCCCUCACUGGGGAGAGGGGGAGGAGGAGAAGGCAGGUCCUUAUCUACCGCAGAGGCCACGUUGGGUUCCCCCCUCUACCUUAGCUGCCUGGUGUUUAGGACGCAGGGGAAGCCAGAGCAGUGCUGAGCUUGUAUGGGCCAGGGCUCCUAUCCUGGGAGACUUGCAUUCGUUCCAGCUGUUCCCAAAGGGGUUUGAUCCGCCUCCUGUAGACUUGGAGGGCCACGGAUGAGAUUUCAACUAAGAUUUAGCUUCAGUUCCUUAGGGUCUCAGCUCCAUCCAAAAGUGUAAGCUGCUCACUUAGUCUCCAGUAAGAACUAGAGAUUCCUACAGAGAAUAACCAACGUUCUAAAACAAGAAGUAAACCCAUCUGAUGUUUGGUCACCACAACCUCUAAUGAAAGAGUCACUGUACCAAGGCUGAGAUGCGUCCUAUGGUAGAGAACCCAUUACCAACUGAAGAAGUCUACCCCAUCACUGGAGCUUCUAUUACUACAAAUUGUU
Oryctolagus cuniculus (rabbit) is the source of this 565-nucleotide non-coding RNA. Lineage: Eukaryota; Metazoa; Chordata; Mammalia; Lagomorpha; Leporidae. The record is from RefSeq and is a predicted model, not a curated record.